RNAcentral lists this ribosomal RNA (549 nucleotides) under Mesobacillus campisalis. RNAcentral describes it as "bacterial SSU rRNA". It matches the Rfam family "Bacterial small subunit ribosomal RNA", at positions 1 to 532 of the family's 1533-position model. The record is from RNAcentral. Lineage: Bacteria; Bacillati; Bacillota; Bacilli; Caryophanales; Bacillaceae.
UUUAUUGGAGAGUUUGAUCCUGGCUCAGGACGAACGCUGGCGGCGUGCCUAAUACAUGCAAGUCGAGCGGACUUGAGGGAGCUUGCUCCCGAUGGUCAGCGGCGGACGGGUGAGUAACACGUGGGCAACCUGCCUGUAAGACUGGGAUAACUCCGGGAAACCGGGGCUAAUACCGGAUAAUUCAUUCCCUCACAUGAGGGAAUGCUGAAAGACGGCUUUUGCUGUCACUUACAGAUGGGCCCGCGGCGCAUUAGCUAGUUGGUGAGGUAACGGCUCACCAAGGCCACGAUGCGUAGCCGACCUGAGAGGGUGAUCGGCCACACUGGGACUGAGACACGGCCCAGACUCCUACGGGAGGCAGCAGUAGGGAAUCUUCCGCAAUGGACGAAAGUCUGACGGAGCAACGCCGCGUGAGCGAAGAAGGCCUUCGGGUCGUAAAGCUCUGUUGUCAGGGAAGAACAAGUACCGGAGUAACUGCCGGUACCUUGACGGUACCUGACCAGAAAGCCACGGCUAACUACGUGCCAGCAGCCGCGGUAAUACGUAGGU